Molecule: unclassified non-coding RNA, 183 nt
Filed under: uncultured Peziza
Lineage: Eukaryota; Fungi; Ascomycota; Pezizomycetes; Pezizales; Pezizaceae
Description: partial internal transcribed spacer 2
Source: RNAcentral
CCCACCCACUCAAGUAUCUUUUUUGCAGGAUUCUUGGAAUAAUUUGGAGAGGUAUCUUGUCACAGAGAUGUCCUCCAGAAAUCUAUAGGCAGUAUGGUUUGUACCUGAACCAGACGUAAUAAUAAUAAAAUCGUUUGUUUGGGAAUAAUUGUGCUUGCCUUAACCCACCCAUUUUUUUUAUUU